Molecule: ribosomal RNA, 427 nt
Filed under: uncultured bacterium
Lineage: Bacteria
Description: bacterial SSU rRNA
Rfam family: Bacterial small subunit ribosomal RNA
Source: RNAcentral
UGGGGAAUUUUGGACAAUGGGCGCAAGCCUGAUCCAGCAAUGCCGCGUGCAGGAUGAAGGCCUUCGGGUUGUAAACUGCUUUUGUACGGAGCGAAAAGGUCUGCCCUAAUACGGUGGGCUCAUGACGGUACCGUAAGAAUAAGCACCGGCUAACUACGUGCCAGCAGCCGCGGUAAUACGUAGGGUGCAAGCGUUAAUCGGAAUUACUGGGCGUAAAGCGUGCGCAGGCGGUUAUGCAAGACAGAUGUGAAAUCCCCGGGCUCAACCUGGGAACUGCAUUUGUGACUGCAUAGCUGGAGUGCGGCAGAGGGGGAUGGAAUUCCGCGUGUAGCAGUGAAAUGCGUAGAUAUGCGGAGGAACACCGAUGGCGAAGGCAGCCUCCUGGGCCAGUACUGACGCUCAUGCACGAAAGCGUGGGGAGCAAACA